Molecule: ribosomal RNA, 180 nt
Filed under: BTEX-degrading bacterium enrichment culture
Lineage: Bacteria
Description: partial 16S ribosomal RNA
Rfam family: Bacterial small subunit ribosomal RNA
Source: RNAcentral
GGCAGCAGUGAGGAAUAUUGGACAAUGGGCGAAAGCCUGAUCCAGCCAUGCCGCGUGUGUGAAGAAGGUCUUCGGAUUGUAAAGCACUUUAAGUUGGGAGGAAGGGCAGUAAGCUAAUACCUUGCUGUUUUGACGUUACCGACAGAAUAAGCACCGGCUAACUCUGUGCCAGCAGCCGCG